GUAGUGAAACUUUUGGGGAGCUCUGUAAAUGUGUACCCCCAGUCUUCCUCUCCACAAGUCUCAGUUUCCCUAGUGCUAAAGGAUCUGAGUGUUUGGGGCAGGACUCUUUAACAGUUGGCCCUCUAAAGACUGAAAUUCUGUUUUUGCCUCUAGCUUGCUUUGUGGUUUGGAGAAAUCACUGAUGCUCUUUGAGCCCAAGUUUUCUCAGCUGGAACAUGGUAGAUAACACCUAUCAUGGCAGGAGAGAUUCAGGUCAGACAGUACAAGGCCUGAAAAUGUCAGCUAACUGCGUCAUUGUUAGCAUGCCACCAGAAGGAACAGCAAGCAUUACCUCCCAGGUUAGGAGAAGUUUGGUUUCCAUGGAGAUUAAUGCUGUGGGCUGGGUUGGACCAGACCUUCAAGUCUUUCUGGGAAAAAUAAACUAGCUAGUUCCCUCCAGCCCUCUGGCUGUUGGUGCAGCUAGCCCCUGGCUCUGAGUACUUAGAGUUGAGAGCACAUAGGAAGCACAUAGGGGGAAGAAAUACGCCGUUCCCAACUCCUAGAAUCAUCUCCUGCUUCCAUUUCGAACACUGGAGGCCACCACCUGUGCACAUGCUGGGCACAUGAGAGGCUACCACUUCAAAGGCUCUGCCAACCCCAACUGCUUCCCUCUGUUCACAGAUGCCUUCUGUAGCCACUUGGCCAGUUCUCUCUUGGGCACUUGAGUCAUGAGUGAGGUUAGCAAGGCAGACAUGGGGAGAGCCAUGACAUUCUGGUGCCCUGCAGAGGCAAGCCACAGUCUCUGGUUGGUCUCCGCAGGGGCUUGCUGGAGAAGCAGCGGUGCUGUGCUGGACUGCCAGGAUUCACCCAGCUCCCUUCUGGGAACACCAGCCUAUAACUACAGCGGCAUCUUCUGAGUUAGUCACUCUCUAGUGUCACUCACCUUCCCCCUGGCCAAGAAAUGGCAGGACACUGAGCGGAGGCAAGAAGAGGUAUCAAAGAUUUGGGGUAGGAAUUUCAGCUGCAAACAUUUCUGAUCCUGGAACUGCAGCCUCCAGGAGAUGCAGCCUGCCCUCCAAGCCAUCCCUGUCCCUACCAGGCUCCUCCAGCAGCUGUGAUCUGGAGCUUGUCCAUUAGACCAGACCGACUGGCCAGUGAACCCCAGGGACCCACCCAUCUCUGCCUCCUCAGUGGUGGGAUUGUAAGGGCAUUCACCAUGCCUAUCCUUUCAAAUGGGCUCUGGAAAUAAGCUGUUUCUCAUGAUGUGUCCAUGCGGGUUCUGUACUGACUAAGCCAUCUCCUCAGCUCAGGAACUAGCCUUCAUGACCACCUGCUUCCUGCUAGGAGACUGGACAUUGACACGUGUGGUUUCAUUCCUCCAUAGCACAGCACAGCUGGAAGGGAGCAUUACUGAGUCCAUUUCUCAGGACACUUGUGAAAAAUGCCAAAAAGGGGCUCAAUUUGGGGCCAGGUAUGGAAAAGCAAGCAAGCCUGGGCAGUUGGAUUUAGGUCCUCUGGAAAUCUACACUUCCAUCCUCUCGGUUCUGGAUGAGGGUCCAGCCACCUCCAUCAGUCUCCAUGUCACAGAACACCUGUGGGGAGGUGGAACAACACACCUGGAAGCUCUUGGAGGGGCCACAAGCCAAGUCUCAGGGAGCCUAAAUGUAACUUGGCUGAACUCUGCCCUCCUCUAGCAACAGUGAACCCGAGGUCAAGGGCAUCAGGAAAGUGCAGACACACACUCCCCGCCCACUGUCAUCAUCGGUCAAGGAGGAUCUGCAGUGGAGAGCCAUGGAGAAGGCCUUCAGCUAGAGAGCUGCCAUCUAGUCUCCUGUAGAUGGCCUCUCUGCAUUCCCAGCCAUGGCUGCCCUCAAGCCCAAGCCUGCAGCUGCCUUCAAGCCAAGGACUCCCCCUGCAGAACCAGCUAGAUAGAGCUCUCCUGUUUCCCCUCUGGUCCCGGACUAGAUCCAACCUGCAGGCCCCCACUCUGUUCUCAGCUCUUCCACAGCUUCCAGCGGACACCUGGAUAGCUAAGAACCCAUUAGCCCAUCACCAGCUUCACACACCCAACUCCUGCUUCUCCUGGACUGUGUGUGAAUAAAAUAACCUGCUUUGC
Long non-coding RNA from Mastomys coucha (southern multimammate mouse), 2095 nucleotides. RefSeq lists it as uncharacterized. The record is from RefSeq and is a predicted model, not a curated record. The transcript has 6 exons. Lineage: Eukaryota; Metazoa; Chordata; Mammalia; Rodentia; Muridae.